RNAcentral lists this RNase P RNA (273 nucleotides) under Candidatus Daviesbacteria bacterium RIFCSPHIGHO2_02_FULL_39_12. RNAcentral describes it as "RNase P RNA component class A". It matches the Rfam family "Bacterial RNase P class A". Rfam says of the family: Ribonuclease P (RNase P) is a ubiquitous endoribonuclease, found in archaea, bacteria and eukarya as well as chloroplasts and mitochondria. Lineage: Bacteria; Candidatus Daviesiibacteriota. RNAcentral also lists the same sequence under 1 other name. The record is from RNAcentral.
CUAGGAAAAAGGAUGAUUACCCGCCAACAGCUACGCAGUUGCUGGCGGGAGGAAAGUCCAGACAGCAUAGAGCAGGGUGCCCCGCGUAAGCGGGGGAUCGCAAGAUCCAGUUAGAGCAACAGUGACGAACCGAGGUCAAGCUCGGGUGAAACGGGCAAUCCUCCCCGCUGCAAUCCUAGAACCGACAGGACUGCUCGUCCAUCUGUCGAAGUCAGGAGCAUCAGAUAAAUUAUCAUCUUGAAACAAAAUCUGGCUUACUAUUUUCCUAGGCAU